AAUGAGAAGCAAUCUCAGCCCCUCGGAUCAACUCAAUCCAACGGAUCACGAUUUACCCGACCAAAUGAAACGUAAAUUGGUAAUUCACCCGUGUUGAAUGACCUCCUCUCACAACAUCCUUUUUCAGAAUUCUUUCUCUCUCUCUAUCAUUUCAAUUUUCUCUCUCUUCCUGCGAUCUCUCGCCAUUUUCCCUCUCCUCUCGUUUUUAUGUCUCUUCUCUCCAUCUUUGAAGAUCCAAUUCCUUCAUUGUUCUAGCAAAUGGCUGGUCUAAAAUGUAAUGUUGUUGAGCCGUUGAAGUUGGUUAAUGGGAGGCCAUCUGUCCCAAUCCUUGACGAACAGUUGCUGCCGGAGUUUCUGCACUCAAAACGCUUGGAAAGCUCUGUAAAUAGGAGUAAUACAAGGUUGGAAUUGUUUUCUGGCUUGGCAAAUCCUGCAUUGGCUAAGGUCAAUUCAGAUUUCAUAUCACGUAAUCCAAGAAAACAAUCAUAAUGCAGGUAAUCAUGUAUUGACUUUUAUAUGUAAUGAAACGUUUUGUUGUCUUUAAUGCAGUUGGAUAGCUAAGUUUCUAUGAAUCUUAAGUUUUGUACUGUAUUCCUAAAAUGCCCACCGACAUCCCAAAGUAGUACACCCGACUAGGAGUAAAUUUAUUUUGCUCAUUUGCACAAAUGAGUAAAACAACUAACAACACAAGAGUAAUGGAACUGUGGAAGAGAUGGCAAAAAAUCUUUGUACUGUGUUAUCUCGUCUGUAUGAUUUUCUUUUUUUUCUUUUCUUUCUUGUAACUACGCUCUUUUGAGACAUAUCACCUCUUGUUGGUUUGCUGGGGUCUUAUACCUCCUAUUCUGCCUGCAAUAUGGUUCAAGUAAGGUAUGCAGAUUUUGUGCAUUUCCUGUUCUGUUGAGAAGCAGCUGCUGUUGUCCAUAACCUGUCUGUGAAUAACCUGUUUGAUUAUAAGUUGGUUGAACAGGUGUUGUUGAACUAGAAUAACUCGGAUAUGCACUAUAACCAUUCACAGGAGCAGCUGGUGGCUGACUGUAGCUCGUUGCAUAUGCAGAUGCGGGUUGAGUUUAGCUCGUACCAUCAGGGGCUCUAUAACCUGGAUGAGGAGUUUGGACAACAGUUGUUCCUUCUCUAUGAAAGAUCUCUUUCUUUAGUUUGUCCUUUUGAGCCUAUAACUUCUCUGUCAAUAACUGCUUCAUUCUUGGUGUCGUCAUAAUUGCACUUAAAUAUCUGUUUAGGCUCGUUGUAGGAUGUAUACAUUUCUUUUACUGUUUGUGGUUUGGACUCUUGUUUUGGGCUAGAAACGUUUGCUACAAGUUUGGUAGAUGCCUCUAUUUUAGGCUCUUCUGAAGCUAGUUGGUUUUUUUUGGUUUUUGCUUUACUUUUUUUGGUUUUUGCUUUACUUUUGUUGAUUCUAUUUAAAAACACUAGCCUACUAGCUCAAUAGGUAGAGCAUUGUUCAAAUGCAGAAAAGAUGUGGGUUCGAAUCCCAUGUAGGUUAAUCUUUACUUUUUGUAUUGUUUUAUUUACUUUUGGGUUAAUGUUAUUUACUUGUUAUCAGUUCAUGUUCUUUUUGAGCUAUUGUCUAUCAAUCUGCAUAUAACUCUGCUAUUCUGAAUUUUGAACUGAUACAUUAUUUUAGUCAUCAGGGAAUGAUAUGGGAUCAUUGUUGGUAGAUAUAGUUUUAUAACUAGCUGUUGCAACUACAUUUAUGGAAAACUGAAGGUGACUGUGGACCAAUAAAAGGUUUCUAGUCACAGCUAUAUGUAAGCAUUGUAAUGAUUUGUUGAUAUGAAUUACUGUGACACCAUGUUUCUCUAACAUGGCUGCUUCGAGUUCAUCAAGACUGAAUAUGUAUUUAUCUUAUCAUGCAUUAUGUUCAAAGCAGAUUGCAUACUAGUUUUCAAACAACUCUGUUUUGUAGCUGGCUGGGUUUUAGCUGCUUAGAUUCACUCAUUCAUCAGGAUCUUGAUUUUAUGACUGACUUUUACCAAAUCUCUCAUGUUUUGUUUCAGAUUUAAGAAGAUCUGCACCCACCCUUUGCAUCAAAAUCUGGAUACACACCUAUUGCUCCAAUACCCCUGGUAAAAAAAAUACCCUACCUAAUGAGGCUCAGAAACCCAAUGCUUUGAAGAAGAAACUGCCACCAGUGGCACCAAGAGUUUGUUUAUUCAAGAAGAAAAAGAUUAAUAAGUUGGUUCACAUCUAUGCUGAUUGGAUUGAUGAGGAAUCCUUCGUGCCCUGUUUGGCUACUGAGUAUCAACAAUGAGUUCUAGAUUGGGGAUUGUGAAGUGGGUACUUGUUUUGGAGCUCGGCAACAGUAUAUAAAUAGAGUUCAUAAAUACAGUUAGUGAACUGCAUUAGUGUCAUGAUUACAUCAGCUUUUUUUUCAACAGGAGAUGGAUGCCUGUGGACUUGCAGCUACUGAAGUUUAUUAGUUUCCGUUCAAGUUUGAAUUUAAUAAUAAUAUUAGACGAGAUUCUACGAAAAAAAAUUCUUCAAAAAAAACAUGUUUUUUUGGAGAGAGAUACUAUUUCUCCAAUCGAGUAAUAAAAUUGAUGAAUAGUCAUUCGAUGAAAAUAAA
Molecule: long non-coding RNA, 2584 nt
Organism: Spinacia oleracea (spinach)
Lineage: Eukaryota; Viridiplantae; Streptophyta; Magnoliopsida; Caryophyllales; Amaranthaceae
Exons: 2
Source: RefSeq, a predicted model, not a curated record